AUAAAGCCUUGAAGAAUGGAUACCUCUAGGAUCAUGAUCUGGAAGGGAUAGGCAGAAGCCACACAAACUUUCCUAUAGUGCCCUUGUCACUGUGCCUCAGACUUGACCUGGAAGAUACACCGCUAAGAGUGGGAAGGAAGCUCAGUUUCCAUACCCAUGUAAUCGAUGACGUCU
This 174-nucleotide small RNA is filed under the name Chelonoidis abingdonii (Abingdon island giant tortoise). Its description in RNAcentral is "TUC338 (ENSCABG00000002372.1)". Lineage: Eukaryota; Metazoa; Chordata; Testudines; Testudinidae. The record is from RNAcentral.